This 484-nucleotide ribosomal RNA is filed under the name uncultured bacterium. RNAcentral's name for it is "partial 16S ribosomal RNA". It matches the Rfam family "Bacterial small subunit ribosomal RNA", at positions 30 to 507 of the family's 1533-position model. The record is from RNAcentral.
AUUGAACGCUGGCGGCAGGCCUAACACAUGCAAGUCGAGCGGAUGAAGGGAGCUUGCUCCUGGAUUCAGCGGCGGACGGGUGAGUAAUGCCUAGGAAUCUGCCUGGUAGUGGGGGAUAACGUCCGGAAACGGGCGCUAAUACCGCAUACGUCCUGAGGGAGAAAGUGGGGGAUCUUCGGACCUCACGCUAUCAGAUGAGCCUAGGUCGGAUUAGCUAGUUGGUGGGGUAAAGGCCUACCAAGGCGACGAUCCGUAACUGGUCUGAGAGGAUGAUCAGUCACACUGGAACUGAGACACGGUCCAGACUCCUACGGGAGGCAGCAGUGGGGAAUAUUGGACAAUGGGCGAAAGCCUGAUCCAGCCAUGCCGCGUGUGUGAAGACGGUCUUCGGAUUGUAAAGCACUUUAAGUUGGGAGGAAGGGCAGUAAGUUAAUACCUUGCUGUUUUGACGUUACCAACAGAAUAAGCACCGGCUAACUUCGUG